UUAAGCUAAGAAGGGCUUACGGUGGAUGCCUAGGCGCCAAAUGCCGAAGAAGGACGUGGGACACUGCGAAAAGCCUCGGGGAGCCGUGUACAGGCGUUGAUCCGGGGAUAUCCGAAUGGGGAAACCCGCCGUUGCGAACCAACGGCAUCUUUCAUCUGAACCCAUAGGGUGAAAGAGGGGAACCUGGGGAACUGAAACAUCUCAGUACCCAGAGGAAAAGAGAACAUUCCCUGAGUAGUGGCGAGCGAAAGGGGAGCAGCCCAAACCGUUCUGGGCAACCGGAGCGGGGUUGAAGGACCUGGCAAAUGGGAGUGAGAAAACGGGCCGUUAGCAGAAAGGUGUGGGAAAGCCUACCAAAGAAGGUAACAGUCCUGUAAGUGAAAGCGGGCCGUCUCCCGCCGGGCACCUGAGUACUACCGGGCACGCUAAUCCGGUAGGAAGCUGGGGAGUCCACUCUCCAAGGCUAAAUACAUUUGGCGACCGAUAGUGAACAAGUACCGUGAGGGAAAGGUGAAAAGUACCCCAGUGAGGGGAGUGAAAUAGAACCUGAAACCGUAAGCUUACAAGCAGUCGAAGGGCUAAUGGCGUGACUGUGCACCGGUGAAAGCCGGAAGCGCGGCGCUAGGCCUGACGGCGUGCCUCUUGGAGAAUGAGCCUGCGAGUUAAUCUUUGUGGCGAGGUUAAGGGAGAGACACCCGAAGCCGUAGCGAAAGCGAGUCUGAAGAGGGCGUAUAGUCGCAAGGAUUAGACACGAAACCAGGUGAGCUACCCAUGGCCAGGGUGAAGCGAGUCUAACCGCUCGUGGAGGCCCGAACCCACUAAUGUUGCAAAAUUAGGGGAUGAGCUGUGGGUAGGGGUGAUAUGCCAAACGAACCUGGAGAUAGCUUGUUCUCCCCGAAAUAGCUUUAGGGCUAGCGUCAUGUGUUCAGUACCGGAGGUAGAGCACUGGAUGAGCUAGGGGGCUUACUGCUUACCGAACUCAACCAAACUCCGAAUGCCGGUACUCCAGAGCAUGGCAGUCGGACUACGGGAGAUGAGUUUCGUGGUCAAAAGGGAAACAGCCCAGAUCAUCGGCUAAGGUCCUCAAGUCCAGGCUAAGUGGGAAACGAUGUGGGAUUACACGGACAACCAGGAGGUUGGCUUAGAAGCAGCCACCCUUGAAAGAGUGCGUAAUAGCUCACUGGUCAAGUGAUCCUGCGCGGAAAAUAUAACGGGGCUAAGCCUGGCGCCGAAGCCAUGGGUCCUGGUCGUAAGACCGGGGCGGUAGGGGAGCGUUCUGUUCGCGGCGAAGGUCGACCGGAAGGACGGCUGAAGCGGGCAGAAGUGAGAAUGCAGGCAUGAGUAGCGUAAAACACGUGAGAACCGUGUUCGCCGUAAGUCUAAGGUUUCCGACGGCAGGUCGAUCCGCGUCGGGUUAGUCGGUCCUUAGCCGAGGCCGGAAGGCGUAGGCGAUGGAUAUCCGGUCAACAUUCCGGAACCACUGAAGAGGAGCGAAGGGGAAAGCAGCGAGGUAGGCCAGCCCACGAUUGGUUGAGUGGGUGUAAGCGUGUAGGUGUUGAAGCUGGUAGGGAAAACCGCCGGCCGAGCCGAGGCGCGAAAGCGAGCCCCUGAGGCGGAAGUGGUUGAGCCUUACUGCCGAGAAAAGCCUCUAAGCGAUGACUCUUGAGUGACCGUACCGCAAACCGACACUGGUAGACGGGUAGAGAAUACCAAGGCGAACGGGAGAACCUUCGUUAAGGAAUUAGGCAAAUUAGCCCCGUAACUUAGGGAUAAGGGGUGCCCUGCUGCGUGAAAUGUGAACAUAUGGAGCGUGGCGGGGUCGCAGUGAAAGGGCUCUAGUGACUGGUUAACAAAACCACAGGUCUCUGCGAAGCCGAAAGGCGAUGUAUAGGGGCUGACGCCUGCCCGGUGCCGGAACGUUAAGGGGAGGGGUUAGCGUAAGCGAAGCUCAGAACCGAAGCCCCGGUGAACGGCGGCCGUAACUAUAACGGUCCUAAGGUAGCGAAAUUCCUUGUCGGGUAAGUUCCGACCCGCACGAACGGUGUAACAACUAGAGCACUGUCUCAACGAAGGACCCGGUGAAAUUGAAAUAGGCGUGAAGAUGCGUCUUACCCGCAGCAGGACAAAAAGACCCCGUGGAGCUUUACUGCAGCUUGGCAUUGAGUUUGGGCAUAGUCUGUGUAGGAUAGGUGGGAGGCUGUGAAGCUGGGGCGUCAGCCUCGGUGGAGCCGACAGUGAAAUACCACCCUGACUCUGUCUAGACCCUAACCCCACACCGUAAACCGGGUGGGGGACCGUGCCAGGUGGGCAGUUUGACUGGGGCGGUCGCCUCCUAAAAGGUAACGGAGGCGCCCAAAGGUUCCCUCAGGCUGAAUGGAAACCAGCCGGAGAGUGUAAAGGCACAAGGGAGCUUGACUGCAAGACCAACGCGUCGAGCAGAGUCGAAAGACGGGCUUAGUGAUCCCACGGUACCGGGUGGAAGGGCCGUGGCUUACCGGAUAAAAGCUACCCCGGGGAUAACAGGCUGGUGAAGUCCAAGAGUUCACAUCGACGACUUCGCUCGGCACCUCGAUGUCGGCUCAUCGCAUCCUGGGGCUGGACAAGGUCCCAAGGGUCGGGCUGUUCGCCCGUUAAAGCGGUACGCGAGCUGGGUUCAGACCGUCGUGAGACAGGUCGGUCUCUAUCCGCUGUGGGCGUAAGGGAUUUGAGAGGAGCUGCCCCUAGUACGAGAGGACCGGGGUGGACAGACCGCUGGUGUGCCAGUUGUCGUGCCAACGGCAUCGCUGGGUAGCUAUGUCUGGCAGAGAUAACCGCUGAAAGCAUCUAAGUGGGAAACUCGCCUCAAGAUGAGAUCCCUCAUCCGCAAGGAGUAAGGCCGCAGGGAGACUACCUGCUUGAUAGGCGGCAGGUGUAAGUGCAGCAAUGCAUUCAGCCAAGCCGUACUAAUGGCCGAGGGCUUAACCUG
Molecule: ribosomal RNA, 2965 nt
Filed under: soil metagenome
Description: bacterial LSU rRNA
Rfam family: Bacterial large subunit ribosomal RNA
Source: RNAcentral